UACAGAGGGUGCGAGCGUUAAUCGGAAUUACUGGGCGUAAAGAGUGCGUAGGUGGUUUGAUAAGUUGGGUGUGAAAGCCCUGGGCUCAACCCAGGAACUGCAUCCAAUACUGUUAGACUAGAGUACAGUAGAGGAAAGUGGAAUUUCCGGUGUAGCGGUGAAAUGCGUAGAUAUCGGAAGGAACAUCAGUGGCGAAGGCGACUUUCUGGACUGAUACUGACACUGAGGCACGAAAGCGUGGGUAGCAAACAGGAUUAGAUACCCUGGUAGUCCACGCCGUAAACUAUGAGAACUGGAUGUUGGGGGGUAUAACCUCUUAGUAUCGAAGCUAACGCGUUAAGUUCUCCGCCUGGGGAGUACGGCCGCAAGGUUA
Molecule: ribosomal RNA, 373 nt
Filed under: uncultured prokaryote
Description: bacterial SSU rRNA
Rfam family: Bacterial small subunit ribosomal RNA
Source: RNAcentral